This 253-nucleotide ribosomal RNA is filed under the name uncultured prokaryote. RNAcentral describes it as "partial 16S ribosomal RNA". It matches the Rfam family "Bacterial small subunit ribosomal RNA", at positions 525 to 777 of the family's 1533-position model. The record is from RNAcentral.
ACAGAGGGGGCAAGCGUUAUUCGGAAUUAUUGGGCGUAAAGGGCGCGUAGGCGGCCUGGCAAGUGGAAGGUGAAAUCCCUCGGCUUAACCGAGGAACUGCCCUCCAAACUGCUUGGCUUGAGACCGGGAGAGGUGAGUGGAAUUCCCAGUGUAGCGGUGAAAUGCGUAGAUAUUGGGAGGAACACCAGUGGCGAAGGCGACUCACUGGACACGUAUUGACGCUGAGGUGCGAAAGCGUGGGGAGCAAACAGGA